UACGGGGGGGGCAAGCGUUGUUCGGAAUUACUGGGCGUAAAGGGCUCGUAGGCGGCCAACUAAGUCAGAUGUGAAAUCCCCAGGCUUAACCUGGGAACUGCAUCUGAUACUGGAUGGCUUGAAUCCGGGAGAGGGAUGCAGAAUUCCAGGUGUAGCGGUGAAAUGCGUAGAUAUCUGGAGGAACACCGGUGGCGAAGGCGGCAUCCUGGACCGGCAUUGACGCUGAGGCGCGAAAGCUAGGGGAGCAAACGGG
This 253-nucleotide ribosomal RNA is filed under the name uncultured bacterium. RNAcentral describes it as "partial 16S ribosomal RNA". It matches the Rfam family "Bacterial small subunit ribosomal RNA", at positions 524 to 776 of the family's 1533-position model. The record is from RNAcentral.